This 309-nucleotide long non-coding RNA is filed under the name Panax ginseng (ginseng). Its description in RNAcentral is "long non-coding RNA (PGIN_LNC004807)". Lineage: Eukaryota; Viridiplantae; Streptophyta; Magnoliopsida; Apiales; Araliaceae. The record is from RNAcentral.
CAAUUUUUGCACUACCCCAUUGGCAUCUUAUUCUUGGACAAUUAUUAUAUAUUUUCUCUCUCCUCUUAAUUACUCUCUCCUCUCUUUCUGUCUUAUGUUCUGUGUUACUUCUGUUGUUGAACUAGUAGUUUGAUCAGAAUUUCUUCAGCCCCACCGGCUACUACAACAGAUUGAUGAUCUGAAAAAAGCCUGGAUACAACUCUUACUUACCUCAGUCCUUGGGAUUCGUGCUCCCCAAAGAUUUCUUCUUCUUACAUGUGGGAACUAUCUUAAUUUCUACCUGCAUCUUUAUAUUAUGUUAAUUAUUUG